UCCUACGGGGGGCAGCAGUAGGGAAUCUUCCACGAUGGGCGAAGGCCUGAUGGAGCAACGCCGCGUGGGUGAAGAAGGUCUUCGGAUCGUAAAACCCUGUUGUUAGAGAAGAAAGUGCGUGAGAGUAACUGUUCACGUUUCGACGGUAUCUAACCAGAAAGCCACGGCUAACUACGUGCCAGCAGCCGCGGUAAUACGUAGGUGGCAAGCGUUAUCCGGAUUUAUUGGGUGUAAAGGGAACGCAGGCGGUCUUUUAAGUCUGAUGUGAAAGCCUUCGGCUUAACCGGAGUAGUGCAUUGGAAACU
Molecule: ribosomal RNA, 305 nt
Filed under: uncultured bacterium
Lineage: Bacteria
Description: bacterial SSU rRNA
Rfam family: Bacterial small subunit ribosomal RNA
Source: RNAcentral